UAUCUCUCCGUACGGGGAAGGAAGAAGCUUCGACUAAGGUUCGAUUCGAGCGCAGCGAGAAAGCGUUGCCGCAGGCAACGACCCGAAGGGUGAGGAGCGGAGCGACGAAUAAUCCUUCCCCCACCACCA
RNAcentral lists this small RNA (129 nucleotides) under Salmonella enterica subsp. enterica serovar Heidelberg. Its description in RNAcentral is "RtT sRNA". It matches the Rfam family "RtT RNA". From Rfam's summary of the family: This family represents a bacterial cis-regulatory element known as RtT RNA. Lineage: Bacteria; Pseudomonadati; Pseudomonadota; Gammaproteobacteria; Enterobacterales; Enterobacteriaceae. The record is from RNAcentral. RNAcentral also lists the same sequence under 25 other names.